GGAAGCCAAUUGGUCAACUAAAAAGCCCCAAAACCUAGCCCUUCUUUUUCUAGCUCCAGCCGCCACACUUCCCUACUCCAUCUCCUUUUGUCUUUUUCUUUAUCAACCUUAUUAAGUUGUGGUUGAUUCACAGGCUAUUGUGCUUAUGCAGCCUAUUUCAAAGAACGCAUACUAAAUAUUCGAUUGACUUGAAUGAACGCUCUGACUAUUGCUUAGGCAAAUAUGUGAAAUUAGUAGAGCUCAAUUGAAAAGCUAAUAGAUGUUGAUCAAACUAAGGUGCAGAUGAAGACAAUGACAGGAAAGAAAGGGAGAAGAUUGUGCAGCAAUGGGUCUCAAGCAAGAUUGUGCAGCAAUGGGUCUCAACUAUAGUAUUAGUACUAUAGUUGGUGUCAGAGAUCAAUUAUGUACUCUAAAUGUUUUGAAAUUUAAAAAUACAAUUAUGUAUCAGUUGUAACUUACUUUGGAAUCUAAAAAAUGUAUAUUCUUAGCUACAUUACACAAAUUCUUGUUAACAAUUUAUGUGACAGAUUUUUCAAUUUAUAGCAAUAAAAUUAUUGAAUUAACA
Non-coding RNA from Nicotiana tabacum (common tobacco), 565 nucleotides. The record is from RefSeq and is a predicted model, not a curated record. NCBI's taxonomy places the organism in Eukaryota, Viridiplantae, Streptophyta, Magnoliopsida, Solanales, Solanaceae.